Molecule: ribosomal RNA, 423 nt
Filed under: uncultured bacterium
Lineage: Bacteria
Description: bacterial SSU rRNA
Rfam family: Bacterial small subunit ribosomal RNA
Source: RNAcentral
AAGACCUUGCGCUUUUGGAGCGGCCGAMGCCUGAUUAGCUAGUUGGUGGGGUAAUGGCCUACCAAAGCUUCGACCAGUAGCUGGUCUGAGAGGACGGCCAGCCACACUGGGACUGAGACACGGCCCAGACUCCUACGGGAGGCAGCAGUGGGGAAUUUUGGACAAUGGGCGCAAGCCUGAUCCAGCCAUGCCGCGUGAGUGAAGAAGGCCUUCGGGUUGUAAAGCUCUUUCAGCCGGGAAGAAAAGGUUGCGAUUAAUAAUCGCAAUUUAUGACGGUACCGGAAGAAGAAGCACCGGCUAACUACGUGCCAGCAGCCGCGGUAAUACGUAGGGUGCGAGCGUUAAUCGGAAUUACUGGGCGUAAAGGGUGCGCAGGCGGUUUUGUAAGUCAGAUGUGAAAUCCCCGGGCUUAACCUGGGAACU